AUAAACUUGAGGUAAUUGGGCCUGACCCAUUACACAGGGGUGAAAGCGUAAUUACACGGGGAGAAUCCCAAACCCUAAACGGGAUUCUAACAUUUAUAGAUUAGAGGCUUCCACAAUCUUAGGGAUAAGCCCUGCCCAGGCGUGGCGGAUAAGCCUCCUUCCCUGGUUAUUCUCUAGCAGACCUUCUAACAUACUACAGAUCGGAUAACUAAGUUGGAUCUGUUAUUUAUCAAGCAAAUCUGCUCUCCUCUAUCCACUAGACCUUCCCGCACUGAUAUUUGCAC
RNAcentral lists this long non-coding RNA (284 nucleotides) under Zea mays. Its description in RNAcentral is "long non-coding RNA NONZMAT002859". The record is from RNAcentral. Lineage: Eukaryota; Viridiplantae; Streptophyta; Magnoliopsida; Poales; Poaceae.